GAGACUGAGGCAAGAGAAUCGCUUGAACCUGGGAGACAGAGAUAAGAAGUGAUUGGGUCAUCAGGGCUCUGCCCUCAUGAGUGAAUCCAUUCAUGAAUUAAUGAAUUAAUGGGUUAAUGACCAAUAGAUUAUCACUGGAGUGGGACUGGUGGAUUUAUAAUAAGAGAGAGACUUAAGCCAUUACCUACAGCCCUCUGGCCAUAUGAGGCCAUGUGCCCACCCCUCAAGACUGUAGAGGGUUGCCACCAGGAAGGAGGCUCUCACCAAAUGCAUCCCCUGGUUCUUAGACUUUCUCAGCCUCUAGAACUGUGCAAAGUAUCUUUCCAUCAAAAUUACCUGGUUUCAGGUAUUCUUUUAAUCAACAGAAAAUGGACUAUGGAACGGGGUGACAAUGUUAAAGUAUAUUCUUAACGUAUAAUUCUGGAAAAUAGCAAAUAUUAAAGAACCCAUCACAACCCUUUGUGUUAUUGAAAAGAGCUUACUGCAAAGAACCAUGUUUUCCAGUGAGGCGUCCUCAAGUCUAAUGAGAAUAUUCUUGUUUACAUAGAAAAAAGCCAGAUACGCCGGGCGUGGUGGCUCACACCUGUAAUCCCAGCACUUUGGGAGGCUGAGGGAGGCAGAUCACGAGGUCAGGAAUUCGAGACCAGCCUGGCCAACAUAGCGAAACACCAUCUCUACUAAAAAUAUUACAUAUUAGCAAGGAGUGAUGGUGGGCUCCCAUCAUCCCAGCUAGUCGGGAGGCUGAGACAGGAGAAUCGCUUGAACCCAGGAGGCAAGGUUGCAGUGAGCUGAGAUUGUGUCACUGCACUCCAACCUGGGCGACAGAGCAAGAGUCCGUCUCAGGAAAGAAAAAAAAAAAUGGAAAGGAGGAUCCUUUGGACAAUAGCAUUACGUGUCACAUUCCUUCCUUCCGGGCAGAGUUUUGCAUUUCACAGUCUAGUUUGCAUCCCCUUCACAGAUACUUUCAGAGCUUUUAAAGUAAAUUACUUGAAUUAAAUUGAUUUGCAGGAACUUUCUCAGAUCCAAUCACCUUUCCUCCUGGAUCCCCCACGGAAUUCCCAGUUCCCAGACCGCUGAGCUGCAGGAAACUCCCUAGCAGAAUCCAGUCCAACCCGCUGGCAAAAAUAGUUUUGAGAUAAGCCGUUUUCGUCUUGGUAAGAGGAAAACAUUUUCCUUUCCAACACAAGGGGCCCCCACAACACUAAGCUUUUACCUUAAAACUGCACAGGCCCCGCCCCGGGCACUGCCCCCGGCCCCGCCCCGGGCUACCUGGCUCCUCUGCGCGCAUGCGCAGUUUCCUGCAGUCCCGGAAGCAGGUCGCGGUGUGGGCAGGUGACGCCGACGAGCGUGAGUGUACCUCUGUGUAGCUUAAACCUUCGAUUCGCCGUCCCCGUUUCCACACCUCGGUGCCCGGGUGUCUCUGCUGACCUUAAAGUCCCCACACCUCCACCCCAGUAUAUCUUGAGCUCCGUUCUCUGAAUGUGGAGUGACUCUCAGCUUACCCCUUGGACUUCUGGUAUCUGUCCACACCCACUGCCCUUCCUCGUCAUCUCAUCUCAUGGCUUUAACCCCGCCUGCAGGGCUCCAUGUUCCCUGUAGACCUUUCCCCUGAACACUGGAAUCCUGGGUCCAGUUGCCUCCUCGACUCUCCUCUGGGAGUCCAGCAGGCAUCUCCACUUUCAUGUGUUCAGAAGUGACUGAGCUUCCCAGACACAUUCCCCGUGCAAUCCUGCACAUCUCAGAUGAGGGCGACUCUGGAUUUCAGGUGACUUAGCUGAACAUGUCAACAUGUAUUAAAAUUAGUAAAUAAU
Long non-coding RNA from Sapajus apella (tufted capuchin), 1811 nucleotides. RefSeq lists it as uncharacterized. The record is from RefSeq and is a predicted model, not a curated record. The transcript has 2 exons. NCBI's taxonomy places the organism in Eukaryota, Metazoa, Chordata, Mammalia, Primates, Cebidae.